UUGCCGACUGAAAGGCGAUCCUUUAUGGUAAGCGUCUCACAUUCUAAUUAUAGUAGAGGCGAUCGAUAUUACUCAUACUUGCAAUCCACGCCCGCCCUCCGUUGGUCAAAUCCUGCAUGUUUCCGGAAGAAAGUCACAGUCGUUUCUGCCACUGCAACUGACAUGCGGAGCUAUGAAGAAGUUGUCGCGUUUCUGGGAGAAUGGGGACCGUACCAGAAGCUUAUGUUUUUCAUCUUGAGCUUUAGCAUCUUUAGCAACGGUUUUUGCGGACUCUCCUUUGUUUUCACUGGCGGUGUCCCAGAGCAUCGCUGCUUAAUUCCUGGGAAUCUCAACCUCAGCGAAGCAUGGAGGAACAGGACGAUCCCGCUACAGGGUCCCGAACAACAGCGCAGCAAGUGUACUCGGUACCGGCUGGACGUGAUACUGAACCUUUCGCAGACAUUCCCCGACCCAGACUUCCUCAACAUGUCUGAGAUCGAACAGGAACCGUGUCUGGAUGGAUGGGAGUACAGUAAGGAGCAGUACAUCUCCACUAUCGUCUCCGAGUGGGACUUGGUAUGUAAAGAUCAUUGGAAAGCCCCGUUUUCUAUGUCGAUGUUCUUUUUAGGUGUGCUGGUUGGUUCCCUUGUAUCUGGCCAAUUGUCAGACAGGUUUGGAAGAAAGCUAAUUCUAUUUGGAACGAUGGCUGUGCAGUGUACAUUCAGCAUUGUUCAAGUGUUCGCUCCAAGCUGGAAAAUAUUCUGCCUUCUUAAUUUCCUCAUUGGUCUCGGACAAAUAUCAAACUAUGUAGCUGCCUUUGUUCUUGGAUCAGAAAUUCUUGGAAAAUCCAUGCGGCUUAUGUACAGCACGUUGGGAGUGUGCAUUUCUUAUGCUCUUGGCUACAUGUUGCUGCCCUUCAUUGCAUAUUUUCUAAGAAACUGGCGGAUGCUGCUUUUGGCUCUUUCACUUAUUAGCCUGACAUACAUUCCUUUGUGGUGGUUUAUUCCUGAAUCUCCACGCUGGUUGUUGAUAAAAGGAAGGGUAAAGGAGGCAGAAGAAAUACUCCAAUAUAUUGCAAAGAAAAAUGGUGUCACUCUCCCAGAGGUGCUUUUCAGUGAACCUGAGCUUGAAGAUAUGAGAACCAAAUAUGCACAGUCUUACACAAUUUUCCAUCUUGUUAAAACUUAUAACAUCCGAGUUAUUACUGUCAUUAAUGUUCUGAUAUGGAUGAUUUUAACAGUCGGGUACUUUGGCCUGUCCUUGAGCACUCCCAAUCUUCAUGGUGAUAACUAUUUGAACUGCUUCUUCUCGGCUGCCAUUGAAGUUCCUGCCUACACAGCAGCCUGGUUUUUCCUUCAGAAGUUUCCACGCAGGGUCAUCCUUUCAAUCACAGCUCUUUUUGGUGGAGCUGUUCUUAUACUCACCCAGUUUACACCUUCAGAUCUUUUCUGAAGACUUUUCUCUUUUAAAACGUAAGCAAUUUUUUCAGACUUGCGUUUGCAAAAAGAUACUGUCAGCUACAGUAAAUUGCAAGAUUAAUAGAAUUCUGUAUUGAGCACUUUAUAAACAAUCAAUGUUUGAUUAGUUGAAACAGAGAACAAUUAGCCAUGGUUGGCAGUGGAUGCAAAGUCAAUGAGUAUAUUUAAAGACAACAUUGUUAGGUUCUUGAUUGAACAGGGUGUCAAAGAUUACUGAGAGAAGACUGUUGUUGACAUGGAUAAUGAAUCAGCUAUAAUGGUUUGGUGGAGCCGACUCAGUGGUUUAAUUCUGAACCUACAGUAUGUCUUAUAUUUUUAUGGAUAAAUGAGGAAGGGAUUAGAAAUUAUUGCAAGCAAACCCUGAUUUUUUAAAAAGAAACUAUAAAGGGACAUGGUUAAACAAAACUUAUGCUUGCACUAAAAGAUUAGAAAUGGCAGAGUUUCACAACUGUGACUUCUAUAAGAAUAUUUUUUUAAAAAAACAGAAAUGUCCCUUAUUUGUUCUGGCCUGAGAAAUUAAUUGUACAUUCCUCUGAAAUUAAUCUACACUUCUGACAUGUGUCACUAACUGAAUUAGUGUUCUAGAAACUUAGAAACUGAUCCAGACCAACUGUAAACAAAAUCAGUCAUUUUAAUUUAAACACUUUGACACAAAGUAGUUUUUAACAAAUUAGAGCAGCAUUUUAAAAGCUCAGUUGAUUGAUGACAGGACACUGUUCUUCAGCAGUGUCAUAGAAUGGAGGUUUUAAGGCCCACUUUCGCUUUUUAUUUUUCACUGUUUUGAGAAGUCACAAGACAAACAAAACAUGUUAGUCUCUUCAGUAAAAAAUACUGUGGUGAACUACAUAUACCUGUCUGGACAUGCCCCCUGCUGACUGCUCCUGUGGCUCCUCCCACAGACCCCUGUAUAAAGGCGAUUGAGGCCUGAGCCCGGAUGUAGUAUGGUGGUCACUCACUGCUUGUUCCUUCUUCCAGUCAAUAAAAGGUGAUAUCUCACCUUUACAUCUCAGAGUGAGUUAUUGAUGGUGCAUCAAUUUUAUUGACUGGAAAUUUUAAAACAUGGAAACCGUUUUAUGUCCGGAAAGAUUGGAUUUGGACCCCCAAGACCCUGAAACAGCUCUUGCUUUUGAACUCUGGCUUGCAUGCUUCCAAUCAUACUUGGAGGAGGUUCGUGCAACCGAACCCACUGUUAAUGCACAGAAUUCUCCUCUCAAGAGUCACCCAAAAGUUUAUUCAUUUAUCAGAGACCUGCCGACCUACGAAGGGGCACUGGACACCCUCAAAAGACAGUACUUGCGGCCGGUGAACACCGUCUACACAAGACAUCAUUUAGCUACGCGCCGACAGCAGCCUGCAGAGUCGUGCGCCCAGUUUCUCCGAGCCCUACAGACACUCAUCUGAACCUGUGACUGCAAAACGCUCACGGCGGAACAGCAUGCGGAGCUGCUAGUACAAGACGCCUUUGUGUCAGGAAUUCGGUCAGUGUAUGUGCACCAGCGGUUACUGGAAAACGCCGAUCUUACCUUACACUCGGCGAUAAAGACGGCCAACACGCUGGAGGCUGCUCUGCACAACGCUGAUGCUGUCCAGCCGUGCGAUUCCCCACUGGUUCCGUUGACACCUCAGACCCCAUCACUGCUGGUUCCCGCAAGCAAAUUCGCCAACGCCGCUGCCAGUUGUGAUUCCACGAACUCCCCGAACCCAACCACGGUGGUGGCCAGGCAAAAGCCUGAGCUGUGUUAUGUCUGUGGACUCGAUAAGCACCCCCGAAAACGCUGCCCGGCCUGAGAAGUGACUUGCUCCAGCUGCGGGAAAAAGGGCCAUUUCGCCAAGAUCUGUAAAUCUAAACCGUGAGCGGGGUCAAGCAGCGCUGCAUGUGAGACGUGGGGGCCGCCAUCUUGCAUGCACGGUUGUGGGCGGCCAUCUUUGUCGGCGUCAACAUGCCCCGCCCCCGACCCACCGAUGCUUACCGGGUACCAAGACGGCAGAUCAACUCUGCCCACCGUAACCCUCGACCAAAGCGCCCCACACCAGCUCGCAAGGUUAAUGAUGGACAUCCUGGUGGAGGGGCACAGGACUAGCUGCCUGUUUGACAUGGGCAGCACUGAGAGAUUUAUUGACCCGGACACAGUGCAACGCUGUGGACUCGUGACACGGCCGAGGGAAAUAGACCAGAUGGUGGACCAGUGCCAACUGAAGGCCACAUUUCCUUAUCUGGAUAACAUCACCAUCUGUGGUUGCGGCUGGUCGGAUCAGGACGCCAACCUCCAACGAUUUUUCCAAGUGGCCGAAGCUCUGAACCUUACUUAUAACAGGGACAAGUGUGUGUUUGGAACCACCCGACUCGCUAUCCUUGGGUAUGUCGUGGAAAACGGGGUCAUUGGCCCUGAUCCCGACUGUAUGCGCCCCCUGUUAGAACUCCCUCUUUCCACCACCCUCAAAGCCCUCAGACGGUGCCUAGGCUUCUUUUCCUAUUACGCCCAAUGGGUCCCCCAUUACACAGACAAGGCACGCCCCCUGGUCAAGUCUACCACAUUUCCCCUCUCUGCUGAGGCCCGUGCGGCCUUCAGCUGCAUUAAAGGGGACAUUGCCAAAGCAACGAUGCAUGCGGUGCACGAGACCAUUCCCUUCCAAGUAGAGUGUGACGCUUCCAAUUUCGCACUGGCUGCUACCGUCAAGCAGGAAGGCAGGCCAGUAGCAUUCUUUUCUCGCACCCUCCAAGGCACUGAAAUUCGGCACUCCGUGCUGGAGAAAGAAGCCCAGGCCAUAGUGGAGGCUGUUAGGCACUGGAGGCACUAUCUCGCCGGCAAAAGGUUCACCUUGCUGACUGACCAGCGCUCGGUUGCAUUUAUGUUCAGCAACCAACAGUGGGGCAAAAUCAAAAAUGAUAACAUUUUGCAGUGGAGAAUAGAACUCUCCACCUACAACUAUGAUAUCCUGUACCGGCCUGGAAGGCUCAAUGAGCCCCCGAUGCCCUAUCCCGGGGAGCGUGUGUCAGCGCACAGCUCGACCAGCUAUACGCCCUUCAUCCACAUCUUUGCCAUCCGGGGGUCUCCCGAUUUUACCAUUUCAUGAAAGCCCGGAACCUGCUGUACUCCCUGGAGGACAUCAGGACAAUGACCAGGGACUGCCAAAUCUGCGCUGAGUGCAAACCGCACUUCUACCGUCCUGACACGGCGCAACUUGUUAAGGCCACCCACCCUUUUGAGCGACUGAGUGUUGACUUUAAGGGCCCCCUUCCCUCCACCGACCGCAAUGUCUAUUUUCUCAACAUUAUCGACGAGUACUCACGGUUCCCCUUUGCCAUUCCCUGCCCCGACACCACUACCACGUCCGUCAUAAAAGCCCUGCGCCAGCUCUUCACUCUGUUGAGAUAUCCCUUAUAUCCACAGUGAUAGAGGGUCCUCCUUAAUGAGUGACAAGCUGCGCCAGUACCUGCUGGCUAGGGGCAUUGCUACUAGUAGGACCACGAGCUAUAAUCCCUGGGGAAAUGGACAAGUGGAGAGGGAGAAUGCCACAGUGUGGAAGGCCACACCUUUAGCCCUUAAGUCAAAAGGGUUGCCAGUCUCUUGACGGCAGGAGGUCCUCCCCAAGGCAUUCCACUCUAUCCGCUCCCUGUUAUGUACGUCCACCAAUGCCACCCCUCACAAGCGCCUAUUCUCUUUUCCCAGGAAGUCUGUCAGUGGGACCACCCUACCAGUUUGGCUGCCGUCCCCAGGGCCAGUGCUGCUCCGGAAACAUGUGAGGAGUAAUAAAUACUCCCCCCUGGUCAAGAGGGUUCACCUUCUAUAUGCAAACCCUCAGUAUGCCUACGUGGUCUUACCUGAUGGGCGGGAGGACACGGUCUCCGUCUGCGACCUGGCGUCCGCAGGAGCAGCAGACCACUACCCUGAACACUCUCUGAUAUUUCAGGACUUGCCACGGCACUGGUGAUGAGUGGAAAACUUGCAACUACAUGUGGCUUCUCCAUGAUUUAUGUCUACACAGCUGAGCUGUACCCAACAGCAGUAAGAAAUAUGGGUGUUGGAGUCUGUUCAAUGGC
RNA transcript from Hypanus sabinus (Atlantic stingray), 5499 nucleotides. It is a transcript of the gene named organic cation/carnitine transporter 2-like, with no coding region annotated. Lineage: Eukaryota; Metazoa; Chordata; Chondrichthyes; Myliobatiformes; Dasyatidae. The record is from RefSeq and is a predicted model, not a curated record. The transcript is spliced from 10 exons.